RNAcentral lists this long non-coding RNA (418 nucleotides) under Bos taurus (domestic cattle). RNAcentral describes it as "long non-coding RNA NONBTAT017166". The record is from RNAcentral. Lineage: Eukaryota; Metazoa; Chordata; Mammalia; Artiodactyla; Bovidae.
UUUUUCUGUCUUAUGCAUCAGCCUUUACUUUUACUUAGGACUUGACUGUCAUAAAGAAGCUUUAACUAAUCAAAAGUUAGUAACUCUGCUUACUUUAGAUAGAAUAGGUCAAAAUGCUUAGAAAUUUAAAUUUAAAAUGCUACUGAAAUAUGUUACAAUAUUUUUUUAAGUUUAUAUCUACAGUUAUUGCUGAGCCAAAGUAUUCAGUACAUAAUCCAGACUCAUGCAUGCUAAAAUCAGAAUGUUUCUAAAUCAUUCUAAAUCAUUUCCACUCUGAAAAACAAAAUUCAGAAGUCAUAGUUUGAUUAAAAAUUAUGUCAAAAAUGUUUAACACAGAUGAAUAAAAUCAACAGUAGAAAACUUGAGUGUUGAAAAAUGAAAAACUGAAACUUCAACUGUUACCAGAGCUUUAUAUAUU